GCGAAUUAGGGAGAAAAAUUACCGUAUUCUCUCUAUGAAUUCUUCGAGAACAAUGGAUUCUGUGCAUCGAAACGCAUUCGAUGGUAUCUUAUUGCGAACCCGAGGCAUCGAAUGCAGAAAUUAUUAGCCAGCUGAUACGAAAAUUUCGCAGUUGCCAUUGUAAGUGUUCCAUGUCUGCGAAUAAAGCGUACAAAGGAGCUAAGAAUACGAAAUUGUUUAACACUCGCGUUCGUGUAGGAGCGAUCAAGAUGGCGUCCAUGUUAUCCGCGUCACACUGGCGUUAGUCCAGCAACUAUUUUUCAAUGGACAUCGUGUUUUUUUUCCAUUCUAUACUUAAUCACCGAGAGACGCGAACUGGCGUUUAUACGGUAUACAGUUGUCCCUAACGUUUAUCUAGCCGGAUUCGAACGACGUCGUGGAGCAAAUAGGAAAGAAACAGAAUCGGGGGACUUCCACGGACGGAUCUUUGACCCCCGGGUAAAUAAUAUUUUCGAUCCUCGGUGUCGAUAAAGCACCUCACCGUUUGAUCGUGCUCGCGUCCUCCCAGGAAUCUCUCGAUCUCAUUGUUCGUGGCCAGCAGGGCAGAAAGCGACGCUUCCGGUUUCAAGUUGGCUUGCGCACGACGGACGGACAGGCCUGGCUGCAUCCUGACCGUCCAGGAUACGCUAUCCUCCAUUGUUGCGGCCAGCGUAAUUGGCCGAACACGGAUAAACCGAAGGAAACAAGCGAAAAUUACGCCGAUGGAGAAGGCUUCCCGCGGCGGUCGCCUAGUCUCGGUUGGCGACCAGCAUUAUCCUCCGCGGCGGAAAAUGUCGUCGUACCGGAAGCGAACCACACACCGGGGAACUGGAAGUCGCCGUGGGACCGCUCGGAAACUUGGAAAUAUCGCGUUCCAUGGGAACCGAGCCGCGGCACGCACCUAAACGUGCAUUUUUCCGUUGCGUGCAAACCGCGACCCGCAAAUGACAAGGCUGGUGACUUGCUCGGCAAUCGCGUUCCCGCGAGAUCCGCUCGAACCACGGGAUCGUCGUGGAACUUUUUAAUAAGUUCUGUUCAAGACCUGGAACUUUUUUAAGAAAAAAAAAACGUUCUCAUGCUGCGUACUCCGGCGAGAACAGAUAGGGCAAUUCGCAAUGUGGCGUAACGUUAUACUAUUUGCCGUAGACAGUUCAAGGCGCGAUGCUUUUGCGUUGCGUUUUUCUUCAACGUUCUAAAAUCACUUCUUUGCGAAGAACUUUUGUCACACGGACUCGAAAGCAUCGUCUGUGCCGCGAGAACAGUUUUUUAAAAUAGUUCCCAUACAUACAAAUUGGAUAGACGUGUUACACGGGUUCGAGCGAAGCGUACAAGUCGCAACAGAAUUUGAAUUUCGAUCGCUGCUUCGGGGAACAAAGUAUGAAAGGACGCCGUGAAACGCGAGAUGUGGUAUUCCGUGAACUAGCGGUUCUCUGGAUCGGUCUAUCAGCGGUAUCAUAAAUAUUGCAUGGGAUUGUGAACGGCCUGUCCAACGGCAAUGGGAAAAUCGAAUGCGCGGCGUUUAAUCGCGAAACGAUAUCAGCCAGCAACGAUCGAAAUUAACUAUUCAUCGACUGUUUGCGCCUAUCCGCUUCCGAGCACGUGUGCGACCCACACGCACAGGGCACCGCCCAUGCCUGCAGGAUAGUCGGGAGUUUUAUGAAUCACGAGAGCUAUCUUUCUGGUCAGGUGAGUAACGCGUCGCGUCUGUACCAUAACAAUGGGGAAAGGCAGAUGAAUCCUUCACCCUUUUAUCCGCUUAGAAGGAAGACAGAGCGAACGUUCCUUUCGCGGCGAGCAUUUUGUCACGCGCGGCGUGUUAACGAGUCAUUUGCGUGGCCUUUCACCGGCACAAACGAUCCCAAACAGCGAUCCACGGAUUAGGAAAUCGCGCGCUCUCGCAUAGAGAUCGCUCGUCUGAAAAUAACAAUCGUCCAGAGACGCGAGGGUCUCCCGAAACGCGCGUCCGGCGUUGAAACCGUGCGCUUGAUACGCAUCCAGAAGCCGUGGGCGACCACGGACGUCAUUCGAACUUGCAGCUUCCUCGACGGACCGUCCUUGACGGCCGAGCCGUGUUUCUGCGAGGGCAAAUUGUACGCUCUUCCGUCAGUGUCAAUGCCGAGACAGCGGGGUAUUAUUCGUCCCGCUACCGUAUUACUCCUCUCGGCCUGGAGACAAGAGACCACGGCCAUUUUGCACAAAUUACGCGACAAUCUCGCUUCUUCGGGGCCGGAGAAGACUCCGCCGAGUCUCUGUUGCGCUGACCUUGUUUCGAUUGCAGCGUCGAUUGUUCUAUUGAGAUUCUAAAGAGAUAUUAGAAAACAUUCGAUAUGCGAUUUGCUCGGUUUUACUCGGUCAGGAUCGAUGCAAUUUCAAGCACUCGAAGGUCGAACACAAUCUAAUAGAGAUUUGAAAUUUUUAAGAGGAAUUUCCUGCCAACUUCUGGCAACGUUGCUGGCUGAUUUUAUUGAAGAAAGAUGCUCUUAUCUGUCUUUGGUGAAGCAAGAUUGUAAGAAAAUUUUUUCUAUCAUGCUUUCCACCCUCGAGCUUGGAUCAAUAGAAUCUAAACGAUCACCAACGGUCGUCGAGCAGAAUAUUAUCCACCGAUUCUGAGAACUUGAAACUAUAACGGUGCAGUUCCUAGACGCUUUUACUGUUCCGUCUCAAUCAUUAAUCUCAAACGAUUGUGGUCAGCAGCAAUGCGUUACGUCUCCCGCUUCGCAGAACAGACUCGUUACGAGUCGGAAUAAAAUAAUACCCGUCUGUCAUUAGAUUCAAUGAACAUGAAUUUCUACUUUUUAAAUAAAUAGCCUCCGGGCGUUGCAGCCGCGAAAGAAACGGUACCGCAAUGAACGAAGAAAAAUGAACUGUGCGCGUAACGAUCUAUUUUCGGUGGUUUCUUCGCGUAAAACAUCUCUAGAGAACCGAGAGCGAUUCUUCAACGCCAAUACCGAACAAACGGCGAUAAACAAUUUUUUUCGAGGCGGGCUCCACGCGCGAGGGAGAGAUACAUGUAAUAUUUAGAGUUUUAACAUUUUCAAGCCGGUGCCUGUGGUCUCGAGACGCGUGCCCCCACCCAGGCUCUUUCUAGAGUUAAUCUCGAAGCGGAUAAAUAUUGACGUACCGAGCGAAAUCGGAGGCCGCCUCGGUAAAUAUAUCAACGACUUCCGAGUGGACAGGGUAUUACGAGUGUCGGACGCGUCUGGCGCGUAGCGAAAAAAGAUAUCGCUGAAUCGGUCCGGCUGAAAUAUGGCUGCAACCGCUUCGUCCCGCCGCGGCGGUAAAGAUCGGGUCGUGGAAAAGGAUCGAGCAGCCAGCGGGGAGAUCGGACAGUAGAAAAGGAUCGAGCGGCACGGGCGACCAAGCCGUGUAAUGUAGAUCUUUAUUUAUUCGAGCCGUUACGACCGUCUCAUUAGCCAUGCUACGUCGCUGUCUCUUCCCGCCGAUUAACUUUAUGACGAAUUACGAGUUCGCGGUAGCAUCCGCUGCGGAAAUAAAGGCUAGCCGGGACGAAGCGACUAUUUUCAGGCGCAAAAAGUGGAACGCUCCGAGAAAUUGCGACUUUCUCGCGACCAAAUCGGAUAACAUUAUGUCGCGCGAUCUUCGGACCGAAGAUUUUUCAUUGGAACUUCGUCAAGGUUAUUCUCCCUUGGUCGGCUUCCCGUCGAUGUCGCGCACGGAUAACACGAAUUUUUUUACUAGAUUCGUAAAUUCAUAUUUCUUGCAACAUGUCGUUCACAUUUCACGCAACACAUCCAUAAGAGUCAAAAUUCAUCAUGAUAAAUUUUAACAUUCCGGUCGAAUUGCUCCGAUUUAGUGAACACUAUUCGGUUCGAAUUUCAGCACUUAGCGCGUUCUUUCACAAUUUUAUAGCAAGCCGUCCCAAAAGUUCGUUUCAUUUCUGGCCAAUGCCGAUUAGUUUCUAAUAAACAUAUACAUAUAGCAUAGUCGAGUAUUCGCAAUGCUAGCGCAUUUCAUACUUUUAUACGAACUACGACGUUCGUUCGAGCGUUCCUUGAAACCGUUACGUAGAAUUGUCAGCAUCGCGAAUUGUUUAUCAGAAUCGCAACGAUUCGUGACCUACUCGAAACUAUAGGCGGCCCGAUCUCAAAGAAAACAGCCAAAAUUUCAGGAACCGCGUCCAGUUGUGCCUGCGUAACUUCGAGUUUCGAUCUUGGCAACGGUCGUGUGUGUACGAAACGGCCUGCCGGAAGCUAUUAUUUUCAUUUUGGCUGCUAAUGACCGACCGCUGCGAAGACGAGACCGAGUCGAAACGACGUCCCCUGUACACAAUAAUACCGUCGACGUCGAUUACGUCGAUCGAGCCGUUUGUCUCGCGGACGAGCCACACGAUCUAAUCGAAAUAAUAAUUGCGGAAACAGAACGGAUUGACGAGCGGCGAUCGCGAUAUCCCGCGGGCUGCCGAUAAUACGGUCCGCGCGCUGGUGCCAUUAUUAUUAGAAACGUAAAUAUUAAAGUACGAGCAUCAUCGUUAUUUAUAGCUGUUGCACGAUAUUCGCAAAGCGAAAUACAAGAUCCCGGGUCCAGCAUCAAGGUUCCCCGACACGGUCCAAGAUCGAGGAGAUGACGACCCCGACCAUUUAAAUCGACGCUGAAAAGGAAGAAUUAGAGAUAUCGUGCGUGCCGGACACGUAUUAAAGCCCCACGGGAUAACGUUAACACUGAUCGUUCGAUUCGUAUCCAGAUGAAACGAUCGACAUCCUGUUGUUUUGUUUUUUUCAAUCGUUCAUUUCAACGGAUUUAUUUUUAAUAUGGUUUUACUUAAUGGAAUUUAUGAAGCGUGCAGGAAAAUAGUACAUAUUCAACAGUUACUAAACGGUAUAACUAUCAUUUUUAUUCUUUUGCUCGUCUAGCAUAGAAUUGACAUUAUUAAGUGACUCUGCGGGAAUUUCUAUUUCUCAGAAUAUUUAAUAUAGAUUCUAAACUAUGCCCGCCUAUAUUUUCAACCAGAAAUUUCGAUGACUGAUGAACAGACACCGACUCACGGAUACUACUACAUCGUGUCUGGCUUGUUAAAGUUAUUAAUAGAUGGCGGAUUUGAUGCAUUUAUGAGAGAAAUGGACAAGUGCAAUCGGGAACAAUGAAAACAGUUGGAGAUGUUAAUAAUACUACUACGUUAUUUUCAGCUUACUAAAUUUUUUUAUCGAAGGGAAUACAUAUUUAGUCGACUUUUACAAUUUCUAUUUUGCAUAAAGAUUCGCUAUCCACCUUUGUGAUAAUGACAAGAUUGGAUCUAAUUGAAUAAAGUGGUUUAUGAAAACCACAAGUUCAGUUUACAUAAAGAUCUACAGUGUAAUAACAAAUAUAAUUCAAUUCAAUUCAA
Non-coding RNA from Megalopta genalis, 5359 nucleotides. The record is from RefSeq and is a predicted model, not a curated record. NCBI's taxonomy places the organism in Eukaryota, Metazoa, Arthropoda, Insecta, Hymenoptera, Halictidae.